AUUUUAAUAGCUUAAUUAAGAGUUUUGUUCUGAAGAAACAAAGGUGAAAAUUUUUCUUAAAAUA
Molecule: transfer RNA, 64 nt
Filed under: Eupteryx gracilirama
Lineage: Eukaryota; Metazoa; Arthropoda; Insecta; Hemiptera; Cicadellidae
Description: tRNA-Phe
Source: RNAcentral